GGCGACGAUCUGUAGCGGGUCUGAGAGGAUGAUCCGCCACACUGGGACUGAGACACGGCCCAGACUCCUACGGGAGGCAGCAGUGGGGAAUAUUGGACAAUGGGGGGAACCCUGAUCCAGCCAUGCCGCGUGUGUGAAGAAGGCCUUUUGGUUGUAAAGCACUUUAAGCGAGGAGGAGGCUACCGAGAUUAAUACUCUUGGAUAGUGGACGUUACUCGCAGAAUAAGCACCGGCUAACUCUGUGCCAGCAGCCGCGGUAAUACAGAGGGUGCAAGCGUUAAUCGGAUUUACUGGGCGUAAAGCGCGCGUAGGUGGCCAAUUAAGUCAAAUGUGAAAUCCCCGAGCUUAACUUGGGAAUUGCAUUCGAUACUGGUUGGCUAGAGUAUGGGAGAGGAUGGUAGAAUUCCAGGUGUAGCGGUGAAAUGCGUAGAGAUCUGGAGGAAUACCGAUGGCGAAGGCAGCCAUCUGGCCUAAUACUGACACUGAGGUGCGAAAGCAUGGGGAGCAAACAGGAUUAGAUACCCUGGUAGUCCAUGCCGUAAACGAUGUCUACUAGCCGUUGGGGCCUUUGAGGCUUUAGUGGCGCAGCUAACGCGAUAAGUAGACCGCCUGGGGAGUAC
Molecule: ribosomal RNA, 620 nt
Filed under: uncultured Acinetobacter sp.
Lineage: Bacteria; Pseudomonadati; Pseudomonadota; Gammaproteobacteria; Moraxellales; Moraxellaceae
Description: bacterial SSU rRNA
Rfam family: Bacterial small subunit ribosomal RNA
Source: RNAcentral